Galeopterus variegatus (Sunda flying lemur) is the source of this 290-nucleotide non-coding RNA. Lineage: Eukaryota; Metazoa; Chordata; Mammalia; Dermoptera; Cynocephalidae. The record is from the annotation of a RefSeq genome assembly.
GUGUCCUAUCUGAGGUGCAGCUGCAGGAGUUCGGCCCAGGACUGGUGAAGCCCUCGCAGACCCUGUCUCUCACCUGCACAGUCUCUGGUGACUCCAUCACAACCACUGGUUAUGGUUGGAGCUGGAUCCACCAGCCCUCAGGGAAGAGCCUUGAGUGGAUGGGAUGCAUCAGUUAUAGUGGUGGUACAGCUUAUAACCCGUCCGUCAAGAGCCGCAUCUCCAUCACUAUAGACACAUCCAAGAACCAGUUCUCCCUGCAGCUGAGCUCUGUGACCGCCGAGGACACAGGC